UCUUCUGUUUAUCUUUCAGAGUGAGGAGAGAGGAAGAGGUGGAGGGCAGGAUGAAUUGUGAGCCCUAUCAUGGACAUGAAAGAAUGGAGGAGAGGACAAAGACAGAACUAAUGUGUGAAAAGAUGAGAAAACAAAAGGAAAUAAGAAACAGGUAGAGAAGAGGAGAAGAGAGGAGGUGGAUGCAUAAUGACAUCUGAAUAUUUGGAAAGAGACAUCUGGAACAGAGUGAGGAGAGAGGAAGAGGUGGAGGGCAGGAUGAAGUGUGAGACCUUGAAAGUACAGGAGAGGAGAGCAGAGGAGACCAAUUUCCUGAAGUCUCUACAGAGGCUCUCUCUCACUGCUACAUUCACUUUCAAUACUCUGGGCCCACAGAGCGUCUUUGCUCCUUCAUUACCGCUAAUAAUCAAUAUUUCAUGCUUCAUAGCAUUUUUUUGUAUUGUGAAUUUGGGUCCUGGGUUCCCUGUUUUUGUGACAACAUAUGCAACAAAUGAUAAAUGUAGCUUAACUAUCUAACAACCCUGUUUUUGGGAUAUGUAAUUUGCUAUC
This is a long non-coding RNA of Monopterus albus (swamp eel), 546 nucleotides long. RefSeq lists it as uncharacterized. The record is from RefSeq and is a predicted model, not a curated record. The transcript has 3 exons. Lineage: Eukaryota; Metazoa; Chordata; Actinopteri; Synbranchiformes; Synbranchidae.